Molecule: long non-coding RNA, 393 nt
Organism: Camponotus floridanus (Florida carpenter ant)
Lineage: Eukaryota; Metazoa; Arthropoda; Insecta; Hymenoptera; Formicidae
Exons: 3
Source: RefSeq, a predicted model, not a curated record
UAUACUAAAUUUCAAAUCUAACCGGAGUCAUUCUAAUAGUACUGCAAGAAAUAAGCGAGAAGUUUAUGAAGUUACACUUGCGAAUAUUUCUAUCAUCCCAGAAUUUAUCGAAAGCGGUUUGAACUAACAUCUCUCAGAGCAUUUGUACAAUUCGACAGUCAAUUCACUGAAAAAGUAGACGACGUUUUUGUGACAUUGAGAUGGAACCAACCUAACUUUACCGAUGAAAUAAUACAAGGGUACACAAUGCAAUGUUUUUUCAUCGAGGAUUUAAAAGAGAUUUAAACCUGCGACGAUAAAAAUAUCACAACUAUAAAAUUGGAGCACACGGUGCACAAUCUAACAUCUAACACGACAUAUUAUUUUCGAGUACGUGCGCAUACUAAAAUUGUU